Molecule: long non-coding RNA, 306 nt
Organism: Dromaius novaehollandiae (emu)
Lineage: Eukaryota; Metazoa; Chordata; Aves; Casuariiformes; Dromaiidae
Exons: 3
Source: RefSeq, a predicted model, not a curated record
GGACUUCAUGGAGCAGGAGCCCGUGGGUUGCCCAGCUUCUCCUGUGCCUUGCAAGGCAGUGCUUGCACUUGAGCAUUUGAGCAAGAUCAAGCCGUCCCUGACGCGGGAGGAAAACUGCCAUCUGCUUCGCCAGUGCUCGCAAGGCCUAAUUGCCCUGCCUCCCCUUGAGCCGAGCAGAGAGGAAGGGGAGGCAGCAAAGGAUGCUCAGCAUGGGCAGUCUCUCUAUAGACAAUCCCUGGGAGCUCUCAGUCGGCUCAUGACAACUCUUGAGGAAGACCUGACCUCCUCCUGGCUCCAGGAAACCUU